GAUGGACUCGCGGCCUAUCAGCUUGUUGGUGGGGUAAUGGCCUACCAAGGCGACGACGGGUAGCCGGCCUGAGAGGGUGACCGGCCACACUGGGACUGAGACACGGCCCAGACUCCUACGGGAGGCAGCAGUGGGGAAUAUUGCACAAUGGGCGGAAGCCUGAUGCAGCGACGCCGCGUGAGGGAUGACGGCCUUCGGGUUGUAAACCUCUUUCAGUAGGGAAGAAGCGUAAGUGACGGUACCUGCAGAAGAAGCGCCGGCUAACUACGUGCCAGCAGCCGCGGUAAUACGUAGGGCGCAAGCGUUAUCCGGAAUUAUUGGGCGUAAAGAGCUCGUAGGCGGUUUGUCGCGUCUGCCGUGAAAGUCCGGGGCUCAACUCCGGAUCUGCGGUGGGUACGGGCAGACUAGAGUGAUGUAGGGGAGACUGGAAUUCCUGGUGUAGCGGUGAAAUGCGCAGAUAUCAGGAGGAACACCGAUGGCGAAGGCAGGUCUCUGGGCAUUAACUGACGCUGAGGAGCGAAAGCAUGGGGAGCGAACAGGAUUAGAUACCCUGGUAGUCCAUGCCGUAAACGUUGGGCACUAGGUGUGGGGGACAUUCCACGUUUUCCGCGCCGUAGCUAACGCAUUAAGUGCCCCGCCUGGGGAGUACGGCCGCAAGGCUAAAACUCAAAGGAAUUGACGGGGGCCCGCACAAGCGGCGGAGCAUGCGGAUUAAUUCGAUGCAACGCGAAGAACCUUACCAAGGCUUGACAUGAACCGGAAACGCCUGGAAACAGGUGCCCCACUUGUGGUCGGUUUACAGGUGGUGCAUGGUUGUCGUCAGCUCGUGUCGUGAGAUGUUGGGUUAAGUCCCGCAACGAGCGCAACCCUCGUUCUAUGUUGCCAGCACGUGAUGGUGGGGACUCAUAGGAGACUGCCGGGGUCAACUCGGAGGAAGGUGGGGACGACGUCAAAUCAUCAUGCCCCUUAUGUCUUGGGCUUCACGCAUGCUACAAUGGCCGGUACAAAGGGUUGCGAUA
RNAcentral lists this ribosomal RNA (1019 nucleotides) under Pseudarthrobacter sp. Its description in RNAcentral is "bacterial SSU rRNA". It matches the Rfam family "Bacterial small subunit ribosomal RNA", at positions 224 to 1254 of the family's 1533-position model. Lineage: Bacteria; Bacillati; Actinomycetota; Actinomycetes; Micrococcales; Micrococcaceae. The record is from RNAcentral.